CUCUGACUCUUGAGUUACAAGAGGGAGGAAGGACAGCGAUCCUUAGCACCAGGAUCUGCUGAGGAAGAAGAGAGCAGAGUGUGUGAAGUGCCUCCUCAUGGUGCCAGGUGACAUGAUGCGUGUCCUUGUACUCCCACGUGAGUAGCUCUCUUCUCUGGGACCACCUGCUCCAUCCUUUGCCCACUUAUCACUGUGCUCUCGCGCCUUUGGUUGCCAAGUUCCCAGAAGGUGCAGUCCACACCUGCUACCAGCUUCCUCUCAUCUCCUGUGGGAUCAUUUGCCGCCUCUCUGCAUCUCAGCCCCACACCUGGGACCGUCUCUAUGGGAGUGGUUUAUUGGAAAGCAAAGUGGGAUUUGUCCACAGGAGACGUGAGUUCAAGCUCUAGUUACGUCCUCCACUGGUUAUGGUCUUGGACAAGCCACUCGACCUCUCCGAGUGUCGCCGUCCUUGUCUGCAGAACAGGGACAAUAAUAAUUCCCACCUCAAAGGAUUGCAGUGAGGGGGGAUGUCAGAAGGUGACCUGAGCCUGAGGGCAUGGCACGCUCUGUCCAGCGCUCGUGUUCCUGGGCCCCCCUGGCGUCCUAGGAGAUGUUCUGACUGCACCCAGCUGUGCCAGGCGUCGUCUUACACAGUCCCUGAUGCCUUGAGGUCACCUAACACGAACCAACUUAAAGAAAGCCUCCCCUCGCGCUUUCCACGACCAACUUCCCGACCCCUUCCUUCCCCGCGUCCUACUCGUCCACCUGAAUGCACCAGGUUCCAUCACUUUUCCUCCAAAACGUCCUAAAAGAAUUCAAAGCCUCACUUUUCUUUCCCUUCUUGCAGCAUCCUCAAUGCUGUCCCGCUCCACCCAUCCUUCGGGACUAUUUCAGCCCUUCCGGCUGAGUUCUUGCUUCUGACCCCACCACACCCGAAUUCUGCAGCUACCAGCAGACGGAUCCUCCUCCCACAGCCUGCUUUUGUCCCACCACCUCCCUGGGCAGGAAUCUUCACUAGCUCCCCAUUGAAUGACAUCCAAACCCAGCCUAGCACACAGGGAUCUCCACACCACGGCCUCAGCUGACCGACCCUUUUAAUUCCAUCGCUUAAAAACAAUCUUGCUGAAGCCUGGAAGCACCGCACUGCCUUUCAGUGGGUGGAUGGCUAAGUGACCUGUGUACAUCCAGACAACAGGAUGUGACUGAGCACUCAAAAGAAACGAGCUGCCAGGCCCUGAAAAGACGUGGAGGGAACUUAAAUGGACUUCCUAAGUGAAAGAAGCUGGUCUGAAAGGCUGCAUGCUGUGGGAUGCCACCUUUAUGGCAUUCUGGAAAAUCAAAACUAUGGAGAUGAGUGUGCACCAGCAAGAGUGAGCCCGAAUGUAAACCCCAGGUGACGCCGGGUGAUGAUGAUGUGUCCGCCUGGGCUCAUCCAGGGUGGGACGCUGAAAUAGCACGGCUUGACGAGCGGUGCUAGAUCGCACCAGGGAUCCGAACCUGCGAACCCGGGCCAUCGAGGCAGAGUGCACGAACUUAACCGCUUCGCCACUAGCUGGCCCUUGCAUGUUUAUUUUAAUCAGAGAGAGACUGUAGCACGGCCUCCGGGUGGGAGCCUCCUUUCCCCUCUGUGAUGCAUCCUGGGCUUCAAGGGGUUAGCCCUCCAGUGAGUGGAUGCCCCUAACUCGCUGAAUUACCUCCUCUCCCUGCAUUUAUGGUGUGCCUUCUGUUUACUGCCC
This 1715-nucleotide long non-coding RNA is filed under the name Equus asinus (donkey). RNAcentral's name for it is "lncRNA (ENSEASG00005032027.1)". Lineage: Eukaryota; Metazoa; Chordata; Mammalia; Perissodactyla; Equidae. The record is from RNAcentral.